This 256-nucleotide non-coding RNA is filed under the name Streptomyces griseoaurantiacus M045. RNAcentral describes it as "Bacterial small subunit ribosomal RNA". It matches the Rfam family "Bacterial small subunit ribosomal RNA", at positions 1 to 260 of the family's 1533-position model. Lineage: Bacteria; Bacillati; Actinomycetota; Actinomycetes; Kitasatosporales; Streptomycetaceae. The record is from Rfam by way of RNAcentral.
UUCACGGAGAGUUUGAUCCUGGCUCAGGACGAACGCUGGCGGCGUGCUUAACACAUGCAAGUCGAACGAUGAACCACUUCGGUGGGGAUUAGUGGCGAACGGGUGAGUAACACGUGGGCAAUCUGCCCUGCACUCUGGGACAAGCCCUGGAAACGGGGUCUAAUACCGGAUACAACCACUGACCGCAUGGUCGGGUGGUGGAAAGCUCCGGCGGUGCAGGAUGAGCCCGCGGCCUAUCAGCUUGUUGGUGAGGUAA